RNAcentral lists this ribosomal RNA (253 nucleotides) under uncultured bacterium. Its description in RNAcentral is "partial 16S ribosomal RNA". It matches the Rfam family "Archaeal small subunit ribosomal RNA", at positions 474 to 727 of the family's 1478-position model. The record is from RNAcentral.
UACCAGCACCCCGAGUGGUCGGGACGUUUAUUGGGCCUAAAGCAUCCGUAGCCGGUUCUACAAGUCUUCCGAUAAAUCCACCUGCUUAACAGAUGGGCUGCGGAGGAUACUACAAGGCUAGGAGGCGGAAGAGGCAAGCGGUACUCAGUGGGUAGGGGUAAAAUCCUCUGAUCCAUUGAAGACCACCAGUGGCGAAGGCGGCUUGCCAAUACGCGCUCGACGGUGAGGGAUGAAAGCUGGGGGAGCAAACCGG